Molecule: transfer RNA, 73 nt
Filed under: Ancylostoma ceylanicum
Lineage: Eukaryota; Metazoa; Nematoda; Chromadorea; Rhabditida; Ancylostomatidae
Rfam family: tRNA
About the family: Transfer RNA (tRNA) molecules are approximately 80 nucleotides in length. Their secondary structure includes four short double-helical elements and three loops (D, anti-codon, and T loops).
Source: Rfam by way of RNAcentral
GGUCCUGUGGUGUAGUGGUUAUCACGUCUGCUUCACACGCAUAAGGUCGCCGGUUCGAUCCCGGCCAGGACCU